This 7172-nucleotide long non-coding RNA is filed under the name Salmo salar (Atlantic salmon). RNAcentral describes it as "lncRNA (ENSSSAG00000101907.1)". Lineage: Eukaryota; Metazoa; Chordata; Actinopteri; Salmoniformes; Salmonidae. The record is from RNAcentral.
CACACUACAUGUAUUUAUUUCUCUGUUCCCCAUCAUGUCUUUGUGAAAGAUUGUUUGUGUUACUUGUUGACGCGCCAGACUGACUUGUUUUUUUCCGUGGUAUUUCACGAAGAUGUUUAUUGUUAAACAUUAUUCUUGUGACUGUUUUGCCUCAAUGAAGUGUGUGCAUGUUAACAAAUCUCUGCUCUCCUGCAUCUGACUUCGCUACCAGUACUCACACACAUGACAAUAUCUGUGUGAAGCUCUCGUUUGAAUUAAAACCAAAUAUCGAUCGAGGUUUUUCAAUUGACUGCCAUAUCCCCAAAUAAAAAAGUAAACAUUGGCUGUUAAUUUUUUUUUCUCGAUUCUAGCGUCUGGAACAGUUAUUCUUAUAAAGAGUAAUUUUAAACGGGGCUCAAUGUUGCAAGUUGAAAGACAAAUCUUUCAGUGUUAUAUACCAAAAUCUGUCUUUUCGAUAUACAGAAGUUCGAUUGAGUUUAUUAUGCCUGUUCCUUUGUAAUUUCUAAUUGUAAUUCGAUGAACAAUUAAAUAUUGAACACUACAUGGGGAUGAAUUAUGGCCAGGACAUCUGUCAGGUGAGUAGGCCUAGGCUUAAUGAUUCUGAUGAAAAUAUGCUCUUUGUCUUUAUCAAACUAAUGUGUUUGCAUAUUUUCCAUGUGGAACCUUUCUGUUUAGGGAGGUAAUAGUUUAGGCUAACCAAUUCUAAAUGACACUAGUAGGCUACUUCGUAAAGUAGGGUUGUCACUGAUGUUAGUUACUACAGCCACAAAACCUGCCUGUUUCUACAAUUUCGCUUCUUAAAAUCUGAUUUGAAACCUAACCAUAACAUUAACCACACUGCUAACCUUGUGCCUCACCCUAACCUUAAAUUAAGAACAAAAAGCACAUUUCUGUUUUCAUGAAUUUUUUCGAUAAUUAUAGCCAAUGUUGACUUGGUGGCUGUGGUAACUAGUGACAACCACAAGUAGCCUAAACGAUGCAUGAAUAAAUGAUGCAAUUAUUCCAAACUGCAGCUCAUUGUCGGAACACAUAUUUCCAUACUUCAGAUAACCAGUCCAUUUUGAAUUUGUGAUAAAAUUGUCGUUAUUUGGCAAGGAAUGUAGCUCGUGUAUCCCAUCAGUUUUUAUAGGCAUUUAUUUAUGUAGGUGCACUCAGCACGCAUGUGUAGAGGGAGCGGUGAAACGCAAUUGAGUGAGUUAGACUUGAAGGAGGAAAGAACGUUUAGGGAGCAGAAGUGUGACUUUUUGCUUGGUUUCUUUUUUGUGAUGUCCCGCAAAUGCACAUGUACAAAUGAUUCAAAGCAUGUUAUCCUUGUCUUCAAGACAACAUUUCGACCAAAUAGUUUUACCUGUAUUUGAACAAAAUGUGAUCUCUGGUUAAAGGUCGACUUUUUACUUUGUUCAAGUAGCGGAGACCAGGGAUGGUUGUAACACUUUUCACCUUUUCAUCAGUUUCUCAGAGAUUGUUUAUGGUAGUGUAUUCAAAACUUGAUACAACAUGGCUGUCCUGGGUUACAGGCUUGGUGGGCCCAUAAUUUGCUUUCCCAGCACUGCACCCAGACCUCCUUGGACUUGAUAAAGUGCUCCAUGCACACAAUUCAGAAGUUUUCCUCGUUGGAAGAAUCAGAAUCUUGUGGUUCAAGGUGCUUUGUUUUGGCUCUUUUCUUAAGCAGGACAGGUUUUUGUUAUUGUUCAGUGUGAUUUGUCUUGCCUUGCUUCUUUCCAGCUGUUUUUUUUAUGCAGGGCAAUUUUAUUUUUGCCAUCUGAGUGCUUGACUAGCUAUUGCUCUUUCAGUGCUGCUUGAUGGGUGUAUCCGACAAAAUCACUGUUUUUCUCCUUAUCCUACACCUUGUUGUAAUUUUCAUGGGCCCUGCUUUUGGGAAGGGGCGUACAUCAACUGGGUUGAAAUCAGAAGAAUAAUCAGGUGUUUCCCAGCCACAGUCUGAUAUAUGUGGGGAGGUGCCUUGUGAAGUGGCUGGAGAGGUGGCCUGAAAGGCACUUGGAGUUUCUAAAACUGUUUGAAUGGUGUCUGUGAGUAUAACAGAACUCAUAUGGCAGGCCAAAACCUGAGAGGAUUCCAUACAGGAAGUGUCCUGUCUGACAAUUUAUUGUCCUUCUGUAGCCUCUCUAUCGAAAAUACAGCAUCUGUGCUGUAACGUGACAUUUUCUAAGGCUUCCAUUGGCUCUCAGAAGGCGCCAGAAAGUGUAAUGAGAUGUCUGCAGUCUCUGGGCUAAAUACAGCAGCAGAGUUUGUUACUGGUCUGCCUGGGGACAGUGACACUGGAGAUGCGUGUUCAUGUGAAUUCUCCAUUUUGUUCUUUCAGUCUUUGAAUGGAUACAAUGUCGCCCGGUUGGAAUAUUAUCGCUAUUUUAUGAGAAAAAUCACAUAAAAAUUGAUUGUAAACAGCGUUUGACAUGCUUCGAAGUACGGUAAUGGAAUAUUUUGAAUUUUUUUUGUCACGAAAUGAGCUCGCGCGUCACACUUCGGAUACUGACCUGAACGCACGAACAAAACGGAGCUAUUUCAAUAUAACUAUGGAUUAUUUCGAACCAAAACAAAGUUUGUUGUUGAAGUAGAAGUCCUGGGAGUGCAUGCUGACGAAUUACAGCAAAGGUAAUCCAAUUUUUCAUAUAGUAAAUCUGAGUUUGGUGAGGGCCAAACUUGGUGGGUGUCAAAUUAGCUAGCCAUGAUGGCCGGGCUAUCUACUCAGAAUAUUGCAAAAUGUGCUUUCACCGAAAAGCUAUUUUAAAAUCUGACACCGCGAUUGCAUAAAGGAGUUCUGUAUCUAUAAUUCUUAAAAUAAUUGUUAUGUAUUUUGUGAACGUUAAUCGUGAGUAAUUAAGUAAAUUCACCGGAAGUUUGCGGUGUGUAUGCUAGUUGCUAGUUCUGAACAUCACAUGCUAAUGUAAAAAGCUGGUUUUUGAUAUAAAUAUGAACUUGAUUGAACAAAACAUGCAUGCAUUGUAUAACAUAAUGUCCUAGGAGUGUCAUCUGAUGAAGAUCAUCAAAGGUUAGUGCUGCAUUUAGCUGUGUUUUUUGUUUUUGUGACAUAUAUGCUUGCUUGAAAAAUGGCUGUGUGGUUAUUUCUGGCAGGGUACUCUCCUAACAUAAUCUAAUGUUUUGCUUUCGCUGUAAAGCCUUUUUGAAAUCGGACAAUGUGGUUAGAUUAACGAGAGUCUUAUCGUUCAAAUGGUGUAAAAUAGUCCUAUGUUUGAGAACUUUGAAUUAUGACAUUUUGUGGUUUUAAAUUUGGCGCUCUGAUGGGUCACUGGCUGUUGAAUAGAGCGGGACGAUUUCGUCCCACCUACCCUAGAGGUUAACAAACUAUCGUUUUGGCAAGUCGGUUAGGACAUCUACUUUAUGCAUGACAAGUUAUUUUUCCAACAAUUGUUUACAGACAGAUUCUUUCACUUAUAACUCACUGUAUCACAAUUCCUUGUGGAUCAUAAAUUUACAUACACUAAGAUGACUGUGCCUUUAAACAGCUUGGAAAAUUCCAGAAAAUUGUCAUGGCUUUAGAAGCUUCUGAUAGGCUAAGUGACAUCAUUUGAGUCAAUUGGAGUUGUGCCUGUGGAUGAAUUUCAAGGCCUACCUUCAAACUCAGUGCCUCUUUGCUUGACAUCAUGGGAAAAUCUAAAGAAAUCAGCCAAGACCUCAGAAUUUGUUUUGUAGACCUCCACAAGUCUGGUUCAUCCUUGGGAGCAAUUUCCAAACACCUGAACGUACCACGUUCAUCUGUACAAACAAUUGUAAGCAAGUAUAAACACCGUGGGACCACGCAACCGACAUACUGCUCAGGAAGGAGAUGCAUUCUGUCUCCUAGAGAUGAGCGUACUUUGCUGCGAAAAGUGCAAAUCAAUCCCAGAACAAUAGCAAAGGACCUUGUGAAGAUGCUGGAGGAAACAGGUACAAAAGUAUCUAUAUCCACAGUAAAACAAGUCCUAUAUCGACAUAACUUGAAAGGCCGCUCAGCAAGGAAGAAGCCACUGCUCCAAAACUGCCAUAAAAAAGCCAGACAACGGUUUGCAACUGCACAUGGGGACAAAGAGCGUACUUUUUGGAGAAAUGUCCUCUGGUCUGAUGAAACAAAAAUGGAACUGUUUGGCCAUAAUGACCAUCAUUAUGUUUGCAAGAAAAAGGGGGAGGCUUGCAAGCCAAAUAACACCAAACGUGAAGCACGGGGGUGGCAGCAUCAUGUUGUGGGGGUGCUUUGCUGCAGGAGGGACUGGUGCACUUCACAGAAUAGAUGGUAUCAUGAGGAUUGAAAAUUAUGUGGAUAUAUUGAAGCAACAUCUCAAGACAUCAGUCAGGAAGUUAAAGCUUGGUCGCAAAUGGGUCUUCCAAAUGGACAAUGACCCCAAGCAUAUUUCCAAAGUUGUGGCAAAAUGGCUUAAGGACAACAAAGUCAAGGUAUUGGAGUGGCCAUCACAAAGCCCUGACCUCAAUCCUAUUGAAAAUUUGUGGAUAGAACUGAAAAAGCAUGUGCGAGCAAGGAGGCCUACGAACCUGACUCAGUUACACCAGCUCUGUCAGGAGGAAUGGGCCAAAAUUCACACAACUUAUUGUGGGAAGCUUGUGGAAGGCUACCCCGAAACAUUUGAUCCAAGUGAAACAAUUUAAAGGCAAUGCUACCAAAUACUAAUUGAGUGUAUGUAAACUUCUGACCCACUGGAAAUGUGGUGAAAGAAAUAAAAGCUGAAAUAAAUCAGUUUCCCUAGUAUUAUUCUUACAUGUCACAUUCUUAAAAUGAAGUGAUGAACCUAACUGACCUAAAACAGGGAAUUAUUAAAUACUAGGAUUAAAUGUCAGGAAUUGUGAAACCGAGUUUAAAUGUAUUUGGCUAAGGUGUAUGUAAACUUCCAACUUCAACUCUAUAUGGAAUACAGUCCCAUUAGAUGGUUAUGGUGUGAUAACUAUAUUUUGUUUAUCUUUUGUUUAUUCUUUUAUUCCUUUUUGUUUCAUUUUCUUUGACACUUAGGAAGUGAUAGAGCCAUAAACAAGUUCCCCAUAUAACCAUCAGUUAGUGCCACAACGCCACUGUUGGGGUUCGUUCCUUUUUCCUUGUCAAUCAUUGGUGAAAUUAGCAUUCAGACAAUAUCUUUAAAUAAAUCAAUCAAAAACCUUUAUUAAUGCAAUUGCAGAGAGAAGUUGACAACAGGAACAUAGCACGCAUGUUUCCGAGUAAGUUCUGCAAAAUAGGAAAAGGAUCCAAGUUGUUUUAUUAUGCUUGCAGUCAUCCCUUAGUGAUGUCACUGCCUACGUCAUUACCUUCUAGUCAUGAGAUCAAGCCCAUGUCUACACAGCUAUACAAACAAGAGUUUCAGUGUAAUCUAAAGGCUCAGAAAUAAAUGUCCACUCCCCUAGUUGAUUUAUAGUGGUAUGUCUGACUAGUCUCUUAUCUCUUUCACUCCCCUGCAGAGUUCUUUGUCUAUGCAUCUCUUUUAUCUUUGAGGCGCUUUUUCACAGACACCCUGAUUUGACUGCCAUAACUCACACAUCACUGACUGUUUUUUUAUAAGAAGCGGAGACUAGAAAAGUACUGUGGAACAAUAUUAAACCUUAUAUAUAUUGUUUAUCUGUAGUCUAGGACCCUAUAAAUGUAAGGGGAGGGGUCUUAUAACCCUUCCCCUUCUAUUAAUACAACAUAAGCAUAAUCAAUUAUUAUAAUACAUCAAACAUUUGGUACAGCCCCUUUCAUGACCCCAAGUUGAACCCAACAGCACUCAUUUGGGAAGAAAUGUAAUUAUAUAUUUUGUGAGUGUGUGUGUGCAUUGUUAACAUUUGCCUAAGUUACUGCCCAGAUCUACCAGCCUGGACGACCAGACGACGGGUCCGGAACAGCGAUCCCCAACCCGGACAUCCGCUGCCCAUUCUGGUGGUGGACUGCUCCGUUGGCAGAAAGCCUACCAGUGUUAACCACCAGAGGGGGACCGCAACGGCGAUCAUCAACCAGGACAUCCCUUGGUCAUUUUUAUAGUGGUGUGCAACUUGCAGGAUAAUUACAAGAUUUAAACCACCAGAGGGGGACUGUCAUGACUCUCGCUCCUGGACAGCCCUUACAGAAUUACCCACCACUCAAGGACCAAGCAGCAGAAGAAGGAGCAGAGGGAAUUCGAGUUGGACUGGCGGGAGAAAUGGACCUGGGAGGAAGUUCUGGACGGGGCCGGACCUUGGCACCAGGCUGGGGAUUAUCGACGCCCGCAGUGGGAAAUUGAGGCAGCCAAGGCGGAGAGGCGGUGGUACGAGGCCAAGUACGCGCUGAAGGAGAAGCAUGAGAGGCACCCCCAAGAAAAUUUUGGGGGGGGGGCACACGGGUAGUUUGGCUAGGCGUAAGAAGAGCCGGAAGCCAGCUACCCGUGGUUAUAUGGAGGAGCGUAUGGGGUGGAGAGCGCUAUGUUUCGCUGAGGAGCGCACUAUCUCACACAUACGCACGCACAGUCCGGUGCGCGUUAUUCCAGCCCCUCGCAGGUGCCGUGCUAGAGCGGGCAUCCAGCCUGGUAGGAGGAUGCCUGCGCAGCGCAUCUGGUCGCCGGUACGCCUCCGAGGACCAGGCUACCCAACUCCCGCUCUACGCACGGCUACCAUCAGGCCCCUGCACAGCCCAGUCUGCCCUGUACGGGCACCCCGCUCGUACAGGGCUACUAGUUCCAUCCAGCCAAGACGGGUUGUGCAGGAGGUAAGAUCGAGACCGACUGUGCGCCUCCAUAGCCCUGGGUUUCCAGCUCCUGUCUCUCGUGCGGACCCGGAAGUGCGUCAACCCAGUCCGACUCGUCCUGUUCCCGCUCCCCGCACUAGCCUGGAGGUGCGUGUACAGAAUCUGGUAAGCCCAGUACCAGCACCACGCACCAGGCUACAAGUGCGUCAACCCAGCCUCGCCAGUCAACAGUCUUCAUCAGAGCUGCCCGCCAGUCAACAGUCAUCAUCAGAGCUGCCCGCCAGUCAACAGUCAUCAUCAGAGCUGCCCGCCAGUCAACAGUCAUCAUCAGAUCUGCCCGCCAGUCAACAGUCAUCGUCAGAGCUGCCCGCCAGUCAACAGUCAUCGUCAGAGCUGCCCGCCAGUCAACAGUCAUCGUCAGAGCUGCCCGCCAGUCAACAGUCAUCGUCAGAGCUGCCCGCCAGUCAACAGUCAUCGUCAGAGCUGCCCGCCAGUCAACAGUCGUCAGAGCUGCCCG